GGAAAGAUUCAUCGCCGGAGGAGGGUCCCGCGUCCGAUUAGCUAGUUGGUGUGGUAACGGCGCACCAAGGCGACGAUCGGUAGCCGGUCUGAGAGGACGAUCGGCACACUGGGACUGAGACACGGCCAGACUCCUACGGGAGGCAGCAGUGGGGAAUAUUGGACAAUGGGCGCAAGCCUGAUCCAGCCAUGCCGCGUGAGUGAUGAAGGCCUUCGGGUUGUAAAGCUCUUUUGGCGGGGACGAUGAUGACGGUACCCGCAGAAUAAGCCCCGGCAAACUUCGUGCCAGCAGCCGCGGUAAGACGAAGGGGGCAAGCGUCGUCGGAAUUACUGGGCGUUAAAGGGCGCGUAGCGGCCUUUAAGUCCGGACCGUGAAAAGCCCCGGGCUCCAAAACCCCUUGGGGGAACGGUCGCCGGUUCCCGGAAAAACUCGGGGGGGGACUUCUUGGAAACAAAGNUUCGGGGCAAAAAACGGUCUCGGNACGGAAACAUUCCCCCCCAAGCUCGNUCAAGAAAGGCGCGACAACACUNCCGCGCAACNAAUCACCUCUCGGGGAAACAAAACNCACCGCCGAUCGGCCCAAACGGCGCGCACAACAAC
Molecule: ribosomal RNA, 600 nt
Filed under: uncultured bacterium
Lineage: Bacteria
Description: bacterial SSU rRNA
Rfam family: Bacterial small subunit ribosomal RNA (bases 1-322)
Source: RNAcentral